Molecule: ribosomal RNA, 420 nt
Filed under: uncultured eukaryote
Lineage: Eukaryota
Description: bacterial SSU rRNA
Rfam family: Eukaryotic small subunit ribosomal RNA
Source: RNAcentral
CAAUAGCGUAUAUUAAUGUUGUUGCAGUUAAAAGCUCGUAGUUGGAUUUCUGAUGGGAGCGGCCGGUCCGCCGUAAGGUGUGUACUAGGUUGUCUCCCGUCAUCCUUGUGGGAACUGCUCUGGCAUUAAGUUGUCGGGGUUAGGGAACACAUCGUUUACUGUGAAAAAUUAGAGUGUUUAAAGCAGGCUUAUGCCGUUGAAUACAUUAGCAUGGAAUAAUAAGAUAGGACUUUGGCGUCUAUUUUGUUGGUUUGCACACCAAAGUAAUGAUUAAUAGGGAUAGUUGGGGGUAUUCGUAUUUAAUUGUCAGAGGUGAAAUUCAUUGAUUAAUUAAAGACUAACUUAUGCGAAAGCAUUUGCCAAGGAUGUUUUCAUUAAUCAAGAACGAAAGUUAGGGGAUCAAAGAUGAUUAGAUACCGU